RNAcentral lists this unclassified non-coding RNA (338 nucleotides) under soil metagenome. RNAcentral describes it as "partial contains 5.8S ribosomal RNA, internal transcribed spacer 2, and large subunit ribosomal RNA". The stretch from base 1 to 120 matches the Rfam family "5.8S ribosomal RNA", at positions 35 to 154 of the family's 154-position model. The record is from RNAcentral.
GAUGAAGAACGUAGUGAAAUGCGAUAAGUAAUGUGAAUUGCAGAAUUCAGUGAAUCAUCGAAUCUUUGAACGCACAUUGCGCCCGGUAGUAUUCUGCCGGGCAUGCCUGUUCGAGCGUCAUUUCAACCAUCAGGCCCCAGCGCUUGUGUUGGGGGCCUGCGGCUGCCGCAGCCCCCUAAAAGCAGUGGCGGGCUCGCUAUCACACCGAGUGCAGUAGUUCAUCUUCUCUCCGGUCUUGUGAGGCGGGUUCCGGCCGUGAAACACCCCACUACAUUCAAGGUUGACCUCGGAUCAGGUAGGAAUACCCGCUGAACUUAAGCAUAUCAAUAAGCGGAGGA